This is a long non-coding RNA of Ahaetulla prasina, 282 nucleotides long. RefSeq lists it as uncharacterized. The transcript has 3 exons. Lineage: Eukaryota; Metazoa; Chordata; Lepidosauria; Squamata; Colubridae. The record is from RefSeq and is a predicted model, not a curated record.
CAACAACAACGUUUGUACAGCACUUCCACAUAUUUGAAGCCAUCUGCUGACAUUUGGAAAUUUAUUUGAGGGAAAAGUCUGCCAGAUAAAGGCCUUUAGAAAUUAGUCUGAGAGCCAUACAUGAGUUGCCAUUGCUACCUUAAAACAAGAGGAAGGAGAGAGAAUCGACAUGUACAGAAUUAUCUCGUUCAUCAUAAUCUUCACAUUCAAUUACAGUGGAAAUGAAUAAAUGGGAGAAAUACUCUACAAACUUGAUUUUAUUUGCCAAAAUGUGGAUUUAAG